AUUGAACGCUGGCGGCAUGCCUUACACAUGCAAGUCGAGCGGCAGCGCGGGGGCAACCCUGGCGGCGAGCGGCGAACGGGUGAGUAAUGCAUCGGAACGUGUCCUCUUGUGGGGAUAACCAGUCGAAAGACUGGCUAAUACCGCAUGAGCUCGAGAGAGGAAAGCAGGGGAUCCGCAAGGACCUUGCGCGAGAGGAGCGGCCGAUGCCCGAUUAGCUAGGUUGGUGGGGUAAAAGCCUACCAAGGCGACGAUCGGUAGCUGGUCUGAGAGGACGACCAGCCACACUGGGACUGAGACACGGCCCAGACUCCUACGGGAGGCAGCAGUGGGGAAUCUUGCGCAAUGGGCGAAAGCCUGACGCAGCCAUGCCGCGUGAAUGAUGAAGGUCUUA
Molecule: ribosomal RNA, 391 nt
Filed under: uncultured bacterium
Lineage: Bacteria
Description: bacterial SSU rRNA
Rfam family: Bacterial small subunit ribosomal RNA
Source: RNAcentral